AGCGACUUAUGAUUAUUGAAAGGUGCUUGCAUCAUUGAUUUAAUUUUGAACGAGUGGCGGACGGGUGAGUAACACGUGGGUAACCUGCCCUUAAGUGGGGGAUAACAUUUGGAAACAGAUGCUAAUACCGCAUAAAUCCAAGAACCGCAUGGUUCUUGGCUGAAAGAUGGCGUAAGCUAUCGCUUUUGGAUGGACCCGCGGCGUAUUAGCUAGUUGGUGAGGUAACGGCUCACCAAGGCAAUGAUACGUAGCCGAACUGAGAGGUUGAUCGGCCACAUUGGGACUGAGACACGGCCCAAACUCCUACGGGAGGCAGCAGUAGGGAAUCUUCCACAAUGGACGCAAGUCUGAUGGAGCAACGCCGCGUGAGUGAAGAAGGCUUUCGGGUCGUAAAACUCUGUUGUUGGAGAAGAAUGGUCGGCAGAGUAACUGUUGUCGGCGUGACGGUAUCCAACCAGAAAGCCACGGCUAACUACGUGCCAGCAGCCGCGGUAAUACGUAGGUGGCAAGCGUUAUCCGGAUUUAUUGGGCGUAAAGCGAGCGCAGGCGGUUUUUUAAGUCUGAUGUGAAAGCCCUCGGCUUAACCGAGGAAGUGCAUCGGAAACUGGGAAACUUGAGUGCAGAAGAGGACAGUGGAACUCCAUGUGUAGCGGUGAAAUGCGUAGAUAUAUGGAAGAACACCAGUGGCGAAGGCGGCUGUCUGGUCUGUAACUGACGCUGAGGCUCGAAAGCAUGGGUAGCGAACAGGAUUAGAUACCCUGGUAGUCCAUGCCGUAAACGAUGAAUGCUAGGUGUUGGAGGGUUUCCGCCCUUCAGUGCCGCAGCUAACGCAUUAAGCAUUCCGCCUGGGGAGUACGACCGCAAGGUUGAAACUCAAAGGAAUUGACGGGGGCCCGCACAAGCGGUGGAGCAUGUGGUUUAAUUCGAAGCAACGCGAAGAACCUUACCAGGUCUUGACAUCUUUUGAUCACCUGAGAGAUCAGGUUUCCCCUUCGGGGGCAAAAUGACAGGUGGUGCAUGGUUGUCGUCAGCUCGUGUCGUGAGAUGUUGGGUUAAGUCCCGCAACGAGCGCACCCUUAUGAC
Molecule: ribosomal RNA, 1083 nt
Filed under: Lacticaseibacillus rhamnosus
Lineage: Bacteria; Bacillati; Bacillota; Bacilli; Lactobacillales; Lactobacillaceae
Description: bacterial SSU rRNA
Rfam family: Bacterial small subunit ribosomal RNA
Source: RNAcentral